Molecule: ribosomal RNA, 202 nt
Filed under: uncultured bacterium
Lineage: Bacteria
Description: partial 16S ribosomal RNA
Rfam family: Bacterial small subunit ribosomal RNA
Source: RNAcentral
ACGCUCGACACCUACGGGGGGCAGCAGUGGGGGAAUAUUGCACAAUGGGGGAAACCCGUGAUGCAGCGACGCCGCGUGAGCGAAGAAGUAUUUCGGUAUGUAAAGCUCUAUCAGCAGGGAAGAAAAUGACGGUACCUGACUAAGAAGCACCGGCUAAAUACGUGCCAGCAGCCGACGGUAAUCUGAGGCGGGCUGGCAAGGC